CCAAGUGCCCUUUGGUGGACGUUGUGGAGAUGUGGCAAAGAAUGUCCAAGAUGCUGGACAAGUGUUGGUGGAGAGAGUUGGGAACGUGAAGUCCAAACCAGGCCGCUGCACUUUCCGUAGACACCUCAACAUCCAAGCAGCUGCACCUCCUAUUCAAAUCUGGUCAGGCCGUGAAGGUGCUUAACGUGAUCUCCUUUUGUUUGUAAUGAAAGCACGUGUGUGAACUCUAGCUGAAGAGUGAAGUCCAGCAUCUUUGAACGUCACCAACCGUGACACCACUUGGACCAAAUUUGCUUUCUUUUAUCCAGCAACAUCUUUCUUUAUUCCAACUUCCAAGCCCAAAAUGGGUCCAACAUUCUUUUCUUUCUAGCCCAAGUGAUUCAGCUGUGUGCAUUUCAUUAAAAUGAGAUCAGCUCCCAAUUAAAUUCAGCACAUGUACCUCCUAGGAAAACAAAAAUCAUGUAGCGCUUUUCAAAGAAAAUGUGGGCUAAACGUGAGUUGUGUGCUUCAUUCUAGCAUCAACGUGCUGCACUCUUCCAGAAUAAGAAAUGACUGUGCUUCCAUCAAACACACCCACGCUGGAUCAAAUGUUAAAGAAACUUAGAGCUUUCCAUUACAGGCCAUCUCUGUGUGCACCCC
Molecule: long non-coding RNA, 639 nt
Filed under: Vigna radiata
Lineage: Eukaryota; Viridiplantae; Streptophyta; Magnoliopsida; Fabales; Fabaceae
Description: long non-coding RNA (VRAD_LNC017594)
Source: RNAcentral